AGGAGGCAGCAGUGGGGAAUUUUGCGCAAUGGGCGAAAGCCUGACGCAGCAACGCCGCGUGAGUGAUGAAGGCUUUCGGGUCGUAAAGCUCUGUCGAGGGGAAAGAAGUGUAUUGUGGUUAAUACCCAUGAUACUUGACGGUACCCCUAAAGGAAGCACCGGCUAACUCCGUGCCAGCAGCCGCGGUAAUACGGGGGGUGCAAGCGUUGUUCGGAAUUAUUGGGCGUAAAGCGCGUGUAGGCGGUUUGAUUAGUCUGAUGUGAAAGCCCUGGGCUCAACCCAGGAAGUGCAUUGGAAACUGUCAGACUUGAAUACGGGAGAGGGUAGUGGAAUUCCUAGUGUAGGAGUGAAAUCCGUAGAUAUUAGGAGGAACACCGGUGGCGAAGGCGGCUACCUGGACCGAUAUUGACGCUGAGACGCGAAAGCGUGGGUAGCAAACAGGAUUGGAUACCCUGGUAGG
Molecule: ribosomal RNA, 460 nt
Filed under: uncultured bacterium
Lineage: Bacteria
Description: bacterial SSU rRNA
Rfam family: Bacterial small subunit ribosomal RNA
Source: RNAcentral